This 844-nucleotide ribosomal RNA is filed under the name Cladosporium iridis. RNAcentral's name for it is "eukaryotic LSU rRNA". It matches the Rfam family "Eukaryotic large subunit ribosomal RNA", at positions 52 to 922 of the family's 3401-position model. The record is from RNAcentral. Lineage: Eukaryota; Fungi; Ascomycota; Dothideomycetes; Cladosporiales; Cladosporiaceae.
GGAGGAAAAGAAACCAACAGGGAUUGCUCUAGUAACGGCGAGUGAAGCAGCAAUAGCUCAAAUUUGAAAUCUGGCGUCUUCGACGUCCGAGUUGUAAUUUGUAGAGGAUGCUUCUGAGUGGCCACCGACCUAAGUUCCUUGGAACAGGACGUCAUAGAGGGUGAGAAUCCCGUAUGCGGUCGGAAAGGCGCUCUAUACGUAGCUCCUUCGACGAGUCGAGUUGUUUGGGAAUGCAGCUCUAAAUGGGAGGUAAAUUUCUUCUAAAGCUAAAUAUUGGCCAGAGACCGAUAGCGCACAAGUAGAGUGAUCGAAAGAUGAAAAGCACUUUGGAAAGAGAGUUAAAAAGCACGUGAAAUUGUUAAAAGGGAAGGGAUUGCAACCAGACUUGCUCGCGGUGUUCCGCCGGUCUUCUGACCGGUCUACUCGCCGCGUUGCAGGCCAGCAUCGUCUGGUGCCGCUGGAUAAGACUUGAGGAAUGUAGCUCCCUCGGGAGUGUUAUAGCCUCUUGUGAUGCAGCGAGCGCCGGGCGAGGUCCGCGCUUCGGCUAGGAUGCUGGCGUAAUGGUCGUAAUCCGCCCGUCUUGAAACACGGACCAAGGAGUCUAACAUCUAUGCGAGUGUUCGGGUGUCAAACCCCUACGCGUAAUGAAAGUGAACGGAGGUGAGAACCGCAAGGUGCAUCAUCGACCGAUCCUGAUGUCUUCGGAUGGAUUUGAGUAAGAGCAUAGCUGUUGGGACCCGAAAGAUGGUGAACUAUGCCUGAAUAGGGUGAAGCCAGAGGAAACUCUGGUGGAGGCUCGCAGCGGUUCUGACGUGCAAAUCGAUCGUCAAAUUUGGGUAUAGGG